GACGAACCGUACGAGCGUUGUUCGGAAUCACUGGGCUUAAAGGGCGCGUAGGCGGGCGUGUAAGUCUGCGGUGAAAGCCCCCGGCUCAACCGGGGAAGGGCCGUGGGUACUGCGCGUCUGGAGGCGGGUAGGGGCGUCUGGAACCAUGGGUGGAGCGGUGAAAUGCGUUGAUAUCCAUGGGAACUCCGGUGGCGAAAGCGAGGCGCUGGACCCGCACUGACGCUGAGGCGCGAAAGCCAGGGGAGCGAACGGG
Molecule: ribosomal RNA, 253 nt
Filed under: uncultured bacterium
Lineage: Bacteria
Description: partial 16S ribosomal RNA
Rfam family: Bacterial small subunit ribosomal RNA
Source: RNAcentral